RNAcentral lists this ribosomal RNA (490 nucleotides) under uncultured bacterium. RNAcentral describes it as "partial 16S ribosomal RNA". It matches the Rfam family "Bacterial small subunit ribosomal RNA", at positions 28 to 507 of the family's 1533-position model. The record is from RNAcentral.
GAUGAACGCUAGCUACAGGCUUAAACAUUCAAAGUGGAAGGGAAAAUUAGGAAAAGUUUCUUUCCUUUAUUAACGAUUGCGGACGGGGGAGGAAACCGGUACCAACCUUUCCAAUAAUAAGGGGAUAACCCUUUAAAAGACGGCUAAUUCCCUAUGAAAACGGUUGGUUAAAUCCAAAAAAGGAUAAAGGGUUAAGCGGUCAGGGAUGGGGAUGCGUCUGAUUAGCUUGUUGGCGGGGUAACGGCCCACCAAGGCGACGAUCAGUAGGGGUUCUGAGAGGAAGGUCCCCCACAUUGGAACUGAGACACGGUCCAAACUCCUACGGGAGGCAGCAGUGAGGAAUAUUGGUCAAUGGGCGAGAGCCUGAACCAGCCAAGUAGCGUGCAGGACGACGGCCCUAUGGGUUGUAAACUGCUUUUAUGUGGGGAUAAAGUGCGUGACGUGUCAUGCAUUGCAGGUACCACAUGAAUAAGGACCGGCUAAUUCCGUG